GACGAACGCUGGCGGCGUGCCUAAUACAUGCAAGUUGAGCGCUGAAGGUUGGUACUUGUACCAACUGGAUGAGCAGCGAACGGGUGAGUAACGCGUGGGGAAUCUGCCUUUGAGCGGGGGACAACAUUUGGAAACGAAUGCUAAUACCGCAUAAAAACUUUAAACACAAGUUUUAAGUUUGAAAGAUGCAAUUGCAUCACUCAAAGAUGAUCCCGCGUUGUAUUAGCUAGUUGGGGAGGUCAAGGCUCAACAAGGCGAAGAUACAGUGCCGACCUGGGAGGGGGUUCGGCCCACUUUGGAAUGGGACCACGGCCCAACUCCUUCGGGGGGCCACCAUAGGGGAUCUUCCGCCAUGGGGCAAGAUCUGACCGGGCAACGCCCCGGGAAUGGAGAAGGUUUUCGGGUCGUAAAACUCUGUUGGUAGGGAAGAACGUUGGUGAGAGUGGAAAGCUCAUCAAGUGACGGUAACUACUCAGAAAGGUACGGCUAACUACGUG
This 497-nucleotide ribosomal RNA is filed under the name uncultured bacterium. RNAcentral's name for it is "partial 16S ribosomal RNA". It matches the Rfam family "Bacterial small subunit ribosomal RNA", at positions 28 to 507 of the family's 1533-position model. The record is from RNAcentral.